UUGUAUUUGAUUGGUAUAAUUUUUCACGUAGAAAAUGUUGAAAUCAAAGUAUUUUUUUGGUAUUCGUUUGACUUUGUUUUACAUGAAAAUUGUCAAUUAAAGGGAUAGAAUUUUGUACUAACUUGAGAGAUUUGGGGCUCAUAUUGGUGACGUUAUUGUUGCCCAGUAAUCCUAGCCGUAAACGAUAGAUACUAGGCGCUAUGCGUAUCGAUCCGUGCAGUGCUGUAGCUAACGCGUUAAGUAUCCCGUCUGAAGAGUACGUUCACAAGAAUGAAACUCAAAAGAAUUGACAGGGGCCCGCACAAGCGAUUAUGAAUCUUUGUCAUAUCCAUAGACUCUUUG
This 342-nucleotide ribosomal RNA is filed under the name Olea europaea subsp. europaea. RNAcentral's name for it is "Bacterial small subunit ribosomal RNA". It matches the Rfam family "Bacterial small subunit ribosomal RNA", at positions 755 to 964 of the family's 1533-position model. The record is from Rfam by way of RNAcentral. Lineage: Eukaryota; Viridiplantae; Streptophyta; Magnoliopsida; Lamiales; Oleaceae.